RNAcentral lists this ribosomal RNA (422 nucleotides) under uncultured bacterium. RNAcentral's name for it is "bacterial SSU rRNA". It matches the Rfam family "Bacterial small subunit ribosomal RNA", at positions 355 to 774 of the family's 1533-position model. The record is from RNAcentral.
UGAGGAAUAUUGCACAAUGGGCGCAAGGGUGACCCAGCAACGCCGCGUGGAGGAUGAAUGUCGUAAGAUUGUACACUCCUGUUAGAGGGGAAGAAUAGUACCGGUUGGACCGGUAUAUGACUGUACCCUCAGAGAAAGCCCCGGCUAACUACGUGCCAGCAGCCGCGGUAAUACGUAGGGGGCAAGCGUUGUCCGGAUUUACUGGGUGUAAAGGGCGCGCAGGCGGGAUAAAAAGUCAGUGGUGAAAUCCUACAGCUUAACUGUAGAACUGCCUUUGAUACUUUCAUUCUUGAGUUCGGGAGAGAGAGACGGAAUUCCAGGUGUAGUGGUGAAAUACGUAGAUAUCUGGAAGAACACCAGUUGCGAAGGCGGUCUCUUGGUCCGAUACUGACGCUGAGGCGCGAAAGCGUGGGGAGCAAACA